GCGAAAGACGAGGAGCUUGCUCCUUUGACGUUAGCGGCGGACGGGUGAGUAACACGUGGGUAACCUACCUAUAAGACUGGGAUAACUUCGGGAAACCGGAGCUAAUACCGGAUAAUAUUUCGAACCGCAUGGUUCGAUAGUGAAAGAUGGCUCUGCUAUCACUUAUAGAUGGACCUGCGCCGUAUUAGCUAGUUGGUAAGGUAACGGCUUACCAAGGCAACGAUACGUAGCCGACCUGAGAGGGUGAUCGGCCACACUGGAACUGAGACACGGUCCAGACUCCUACGGGAGGCAGCAGUAGGGAAUCUUCCGCAAUGGGCGAAAGCCUGACGGAGCAACGCCGCGUGAGUGAUGAAGGUCUUCGGAUCGUAAAACUCUGUUAUUAGGGAAGAACAAACGUGUAAGUAACUGUGCACGUCUUGACGGUACCUAAUCAGAAAGCCACGGCUAACUACGUGCCAGCAGCCGCGGUAAU
RNAcentral lists this ribosomal RNA (475 nucleotides) under uncultured bacterium. RNAcentral describes it as "bacterial SSU rRNA". It matches the Rfam family "Bacterial small subunit ribosomal RNA", at positions 66 to 524 of the family's 1533-position model. The record is from RNAcentral.